This 1039-nucleotide ribosomal RNA is filed under the name Chromobacterium amazonense. Its description in RNAcentral is "bacterial SSU rRNA". It matches the Rfam family "Bacterial small subunit ribosomal RNA", at positions 35 to 1069 of the family's 1533-position model. Lineage: Bacteria; Pseudomonadati; Pseudomonadota; Betaproteobacteria; Neisseriales; Chromobacteriaceae. The record is from RNAcentral.
GGAAGGGGCAGCAGCUUUACCAUGCAGUCGACGGCAGCACGGGAGCUUGCUCCUGGUGGCGAGUGGCGAACGGGUGAGUAAUGCAUCGGAAUGUACCGUGUAAUGGGGGAUAGCUCGGCGAAAGCCGGAUUAAUACCGCAUACGCCCUGAGGGGGAAAGCGGGGGAUCGAAAGACCUCGCGUUAUACGAGCAGCCGAUGUCUGAUUAGCUAGUUGGUGAGGUAAGAGCUCACCAAGGCGACGAUCAGUAGCGGGUCUGAGAGGAUGAUCCGCCACACUGGGACUGAGACACGGCCCAGACUCCUACGGGAGGCAGCAGUGGGGAAUUUUGGACAAUGGGCGCAAGCCUGAUCCAGCCAUGCCGCGUGUCUGAAGAAGGCCUUCGGGUUGUAAAGGACUUUUGUUCGGGAGGAAAUCCCGCUGGUUAAUACCUGGCGGGGAUGACAGUACCGGAAGAAUAAGCACCGGCUAACUACGUGCCAGCAGCCGCGGUAAUACGUAGGGUGCAAGCGUUAAUCGGAAUUACUGGGCGUAAAGCGUGCGCAGGCGGUUGUGCAAGUCUGAUGUGAAAGCCCCGGGCUCAACCUGGGAACGGCAUUGGAGACUGCACGACUAGAGUGCGUCAGAGGGGGGUAGAAUUCCGCGUGUAGCAGUGAAAUGCGUAGAGAUGCGGAGGAAUACCGAUGGCGAAGGCAGCCCCCUGGGAUGACACUGACGCUCAUGCACGAAAGCGUGGGGAGCACACAGGAUUAGAUACCCUGGUAGUCCACGCCCUAAACGAUGUCAACUAGCUGUUGGGGGUUUGAAUCCUUGGUAGCGUAGCUACGCGUGAAGUUGACCGCCUGGGGAGUACGGCCGCAAGGUUAAAACUCAAGGAAUUGACGGGGACCCGCACAAGCGGUGGAUGAUGUGGAUUAAUUCGAUGCAACGCGAAAACCUUACCUGCUCUUGACAUGUACGGAACUUGGUAGAGAUAUCUUGGUGCCCGAAAGGGAGCCGUAACCAAGGUGCUGCAUGGCUGUCGUCAGCUCGUGGUCGUG